GCUGGCGGCAAGCCUAACACAUGCAAGUCGAACGGAUCCUUCGGGAUUAGUGGCGGACGGGUGAGUAACACGUGGGAACGUGCCUUUUGGUUCGGAACAACUCAGGGAAACUUGAGCUAAUACCGAAUGUGCCCUUCGGGGGAAAGAUUUAUCGCCAUUAGAGCGGCCCGCGUCUGAUUAGCUAGUUGGUGAGGUAAAGGCUCACCAAGGCUACGAUCAGUAGCUGGUCUGAGAGGAUGAUCAGCCACAUUGGGACUGAGACACGGCCCAAACUCCUACGGGAGGCAGCAGUGGGGAAUCUUGCGCAAUGGGCGAAAGCCUGACGCAGCCAUGCCGCGUGAAUGAUGAAGGUCUUAGGAUUGUAAAAUUCUUUCACCGGGGACGAUAAUGACGGUACCCGGAGAAGAAGCCCCGGCUAACUUCGUGCCAGCAGCCGCGGUAAUACGAAGGGGGCUAGCGUUGCUCGGAAUUACUGGGCGUAAAGGGGGCGUAGGCGGAUAGUUUAGUCAGAGGUGAAAGCCCAGGGCUCAACCUUGGAAUUGCCUUUGAUACUGGCUAUCUUGAGUUUGGGAGAGGUGAGUGGAACUCCGAGUGUAGAGGUGAAAUUCGUAGAUAUUCGGAAGAACACCAGUGGCGAAGGCGACUCACUGGCCCAAUACUGACGCUGAGGCUCGAAAGCGUGGGGAGCAAACAGGAUUAGAUACCCUGGUAGUCCACGCCGUAAACGAUGAGUGCUAGUUGUCGGCAUGCAUGCAUGUCGGUGACGCAGCUAACGCAUUAAGCACUCCGCCUGGGGAGUACGGUCGCAAGAUUAAAACUCAAAGGAAUU
This 829-nucleotide ribosomal RNA is filed under the name uncultured bacterium. Its description in RNAcentral is "bacterial SSU rRNA". It matches the Rfam family "Bacterial small subunit ribosomal RNA", at positions 35 to 911 of the family's 1533-position model. The record is from RNAcentral.